AUUGAACGCUGGCGGCAGGCCUAACACAUGCAAGUCGAGCGAGCGGCGGACGGGUGAGUAAUGUAUGGGGACUGCCCGAUAGAGGGGGAUAACUACUGGAAACGGUGGCUAAUACCGCAUACUAUCGGAUAACCCAUAUGGGAUUAGCUAGUAGGUGGGGUAAAGGCUCACCUAGGCGACGAUCUCUAGCUGGUCUGAGAGGAUGAUCAACCAAAUUGGGACUGAGGCACGGCCCAUGCUCCUCCGGUGGCAGCCUUGGGGAAUAUUGCACAAUGGGCGCAAGACUGAUGCAGCCAUGCCGCGUGUAUUGAGAAAGCCUUAGGGUUGUAAAGUACUUUCAGCGGGGAGGCGUUUCCCGCAGAAGAAACACCGGCUAACUCCGUGCCAGCAGCCGCGGUAAUAC
RNAcentral lists this ribosomal RNA (403 nucleotides) under uncultured bacterium. Its description in RNAcentral is "partial 16S ribosomal RNA". It matches the Rfam family "Bacterial small subunit ribosomal RNA", at positions 30 to 526 of the family's 1533-position model. The record is from RNAcentral.